GAUGAACGCUGGCGGCGUGCCUAAUACAUGCAAGUCGAGCGGAAAGGCGAGGCGCUUGCUUCGCUGACGUUAGCCGCGGGGGUGAGAGUAACACGUGGAUAACCUACCUAUAAUACUGAUAACACUUCGGGACACGGGAUCUAACACGGGAUAAUAUUUUGAACCGCGUGGUUGGAAGGUGAAAGACGGUGUUGCGGUAUCUUCUCGCUGGAUACCCGCUGCAUUAGCUGGUUGGUAAGGUAACGGCUUAUGAAGGGAAGGAUGCAUAGCCGACAUGAGAGGGUGAUCGGCCACACUGGAACGGAGACACGGUCCAGACUCCUACGGGAGGCAGCAGUAGGGAAUCCUCCGCAAUGGGCGAAAGCCUGACGGAGCAACGCCGCGUGAGUGAUGAAGGUCUUCGGAGCGUAAAACUCUGUUAUUAGGGAAGAACACAUGUGUAAGUAACUGUGCACAGCUUGACGGUACCUAAUCAGAAAGCCACGGCUAACUACGUG
Molecule: ribosomal RNA, 497 nt
Filed under: uncultured bacterium
Lineage: Bacteria
Description: partial 16S ribosomal RNA
Rfam family: Bacterial small subunit ribosomal RNA
Source: RNAcentral